UACGUAGGCAGCAAGCGUUGUUCGGAGUUACUGGGCGUAAAGGGUGUGUAGGCGGUUGUUUAAGUUUGGUGUGAAAUCUCCCGGCUCAACUGGGAGGGUGCGCCGAAUACUGAAUGACUCGAGUGCGGGAGAGGAAAGUGGAAUUCCUGGUGUAGCGGUGAAAUGCGUAGAUAUCAGGAGGAACACCGGUGGUGUAGACGGCUUUCUGGACCGUAACUGACGCUGAGACACGAAAGCGUGGGUAGCAAACAGG
RNAcentral lists this ribosomal RNA (253 nucleotides) under uncultured bacterium. Its description in RNAcentral is "partial 16S ribosomal RNA". It matches the Rfam family "Bacterial small subunit ribosomal RNA", at positions 524 to 776 of the family's 1533-position model. The record is from RNAcentral.